AGAGUUUGAUCCUGGCUCAGAUUGAACGCUGGCGGCAUGCCUUACACAUGCAAGUCGAACGGCAGCGCGGGGGGUAACUCCUGGCGGCGAGUGGCGAACGGGUGAGCAAUAUAUCGGAACGUGCCCUGGAGUGGGGGAUAACUAGUCGAAAGAUUAGCUAAUACCGCAUACGAUCUACGGAUGAAAGUGGGGGAUUCGCAAGAACCUCAUGCUCGUGGAGCGGCCGAUAUCUGAUUAGCUAGUUGGUAGGGUAAAAGCCUACCAAGGCGACGAUCAGUAGCUGGUUUGAGAGAACGACCAGCCACACUGGGACUGAGACACGGCCCAGACUCCUACGGGAGGCAGCAGUGGGGAAUUUUGGACAAUGGGGGCAACCCUGAUCCAGCAAUGCCGCGUGUGUGAAGAAGGCCUUCGGGUUGUAAAGCACUUUUGUCAGGGAAGAAACGGUGAGGGC
RNAcentral lists this ribosomal RNA (454 nucleotides) under uncultured bacterium. RNAcentral's name for it is "bacterial SSU rRNA". It matches the Rfam family "Bacterial small subunit ribosomal RNA", at positions 8 to 460 of the family's 1533-position model. The record is from RNAcentral.